Molecule: ribosomal RNA, 62 nt
Filed under: Avibacterium gallinarum
Lineage: Bacteria; Pseudomonadati; Pseudomonadota; Gammaproteobacteria; Pasteurellales; Pasteurellaceae
Description: partial 23S ribosomal RNA
Source: RNAcentral
UGUGGUACUAAGCUUACGAGAAGUAGGGCGGGACACGAGGAAUCCUGUCUGAAGAUGGGGGG